Molecule: long non-coding RNA, 662 nt
Filed under: Rattus norvegicus (Norway rat)
Lineage: Eukaryota; Metazoa; Chordata; Mammalia; Rodentia; Muridae
Description: long non-coding RNA NONRATT002610
Source: RNAcentral
UGGUUGCCCAGCGUCUGGAACAGUUGGUGCAGGAGCAACUCAAGUCUCCGCCCAGCUCAGGACCCCUUCCUGGAAGUCUCCUGAGGAAUGCCAUAGAGGCAGCUUGGGUCGGUGGGACUUGGUGCUGGAAAACCCUGUCCCUCCAGGGUGGUCACAUGGCUUACACUGCCCCUCUGCCCCUCAGCUGGCCUCUGACCCGGCCCUGCAUCGUAAGCUGGCCCGCCUGUCAGCAGGCUCUUUCGCCCGCCUUGUGGAGCUCUUCUCUAGCCGGGGAGGCAGUUCCUCCCCAAACUGCUCAAGUCCCUCGAUGCCGUGCCCAGGGCCCCCACCGCCAUCCCCAGAUCCGCUGGCACGCCUAGCACUAGCCAUGGAGCUGAGCCGGCGCGUGGCUGGGCUUGGGGGUACCCUGGCCAGCCUCAGCAUUGAGCAUGUACACAGCUUCGCGCCCUGGAUCCAGGCCCAUGGGGGCUGGGCAGGCAUCCUGGCCACCUCACCUGUGGACUUGAACUUGCCUUUGGACUGAGCGUUUCCUCUGAACCGGCUGCAGGUGACCGAAGUAUGACGACACACAUUCUUCAGGGCUGUAGGGUGGCGGUUGCCCUACUUUUCUUUUUUUGCCAAAAAGACUGUUUAGUAUUAAAAGCUUUGUUCUUUGACUAGAG